RNAcentral lists this ribosomal RNA (301 nucleotides) under uncultured bacterium. Its description in RNAcentral is "partial 16S ribosomal RNA". It matches the Rfam family "Bacterial small subunit ribosomal RNA", at positions 509 to 807 of the family's 1533-position model. The record is from RNAcentral.
CAGCCGCCGCGGGAAUACGAAGGGGGCUAGCGUUGUUCGGAAUUACUGGGCGUAAAGCGCACGCAGGCGGCUCGAUAAAUUAGAAGUGAAAGCCUUGGGCUUAACCUGAGAAUUGCUUUUAAGACUGUCGAGCUAGAAUCCAGAAGAGGGUAGUGGAAUUCCGAGUGUAGAGGUGAAAUUCGUAGAUAUUCGGAAGAACACCAGUGGCGAAGGCGACUACCUGGUCUGGCAUUGACGCUCAUGUGCGAAAGCGUGGGGAGCAAACAGGAUUAGAUACCCGUGUAGUUCCUGUCUCUUAUAC